UACGUAGGGGGCAAGCGUUACUCGGAUUCACUGGGCGUAAAGAGCGUGUAGGCGGUCAGGUAGGUCCGUUGUGAAAACUCGAGGCUCAACCUCGAGACGCCGAUGGAAACCAUCUGACUAGAGUCCGGAAGAGGAGAGUGGAAUUCCUGGUGUAGCGGUGAAAUGCGCAGAUAUCAGGAAGAACACCCGUGGCUAAGGCGGCUCUCUAGUACGGUACUGACGCUGAGACGCGAAAGCGUGGGGAGCGAACAGG
RNAcentral lists this ribosomal RNA (253 nucleotides) under uncultured bacterium. RNAcentral's name for it is "partial 16S ribosomal RNA". It matches the Rfam family "Bacterial small subunit ribosomal RNA", at positions 524 to 776 of the family's 1533-position model. The record is from RNAcentral.